Molecule: ribosomal RNA, 465 nt
Filed under: Vreelandella stevensii
Lineage: Bacteria; Pseudomonadati; Pseudomonadota; Gammaproteobacteria; Oceanospirillales; Halomonadaceae
Description: partial 16S ribosomal RNA
Rfam family: Bacterial small subunit ribosomal RNA
Source: RNAcentral
CCUACGGGAGGCUGCAGUGGGGAAUAUUGGACAAUGGGGGGAACCCUGAUCCAGCCAUGCCGCGUGUGUGAAGAAGGCCCUCGGGUUGUAAAGCACUGUCAGUGAGGAAGAACGCCUGGUGGUUAAUACCCAUCAGGAAAGACAUCACUCACAGAAGAAGCACCGGCUAACUCCGUGGCAGCAGCCGCGGUAAUACGGAGGGUGCGAGCGUUAAUCGGAAUUACUGGGCGUAAAGCGCGCGUAGGUGGCUUGAUAAGCCGGUUGUGAAAGCCCCGGGCUCAACCUGGGAACGGCAUCCGGAACUGUCAAGCUAGAGUGCAGGAGAGGAAGGUAGAAUUCCCGGUGUAGCGGUGAAAUGCGUAGAGAUCGGGAGGAAUACCAGUGGCGAAGGCGGCCUUCUGGACUGACACUGACACUGAGGUGCGAAAGCGUGGGUAGCAAACAGGAUUAGAUACCCUGGUAGUC